This 411-nucleotide ribosomal RNA is filed under the name Pseudomonas aeruginosa. RNAcentral's name for it is "bacterial SSU rRNA". It matches the Rfam family "Bacterial small subunit ribosomal RNA", at positions 350 to 757 of the family's 1533-position model. The record is from RNAcentral. Lineage: Bacteria; Pseudomonadati; Pseudomonadota; Gammaproteobacteria; Pseudomonadales; Pseudomonadaceae.
AACANUGGGGAAUUUGGNAUGGGCGAAGCCUGAUCCAGCCAUGCCGCGUGUGUGAAGAAGGUCUUCGGAUUGUAAAGCACUUUAAGUUGGGAGGAAGGGCAGUAAGUUAAUACCUUGCUGUUUUGACGUUACCAACAGAAUAAGCACCGGCUAACUUCGUGCCAGCAGCCGCGGUAAUACGAAGGGUGCAAGCGUUAAUCGGAAUUACUGGGCGUAAAGCGCGCGUAGGUGGUUCAGCAAGUUGGAUGUGAAAUCCCCGGGCUCAACCUGGGAACUGCAUCCAAAACUACUGAGCUAGAGUACGGUAGAGGGUGGUGGAAUUUCCUGUGUAGCGGUGAAAUGCGUANAUAUAGGAAGGAACNCCAGUGGCGAAGGCGACCACCUGGACUGAUACUGACCCUGAGGUGCGAA